GACGAACGCUGGCGGCGUGCUUAACACAUGCAAGUCGAACGGAAAGGCCCUUCGGGGUACUCGAGUGGCGAACGGGUGAGUAACACGUGGGUGAUCUGCCCUGCACUUUGGGAUAAGCCUGGGAAACUGGGUCUAAUACCGAAUAGGACCACGCGCGUCAUGGUGUGUGGGGGAAAGCUUUUGCGGUGUGGGAUGGGCCCGCGGCCUAUCAGCUUGUUGGUGGGGUAAUGGCCUACCAAGGCGACGACGGGUAGCCGGCCUGAGAGGGUGACCGGCCACACUGGGACUGAGAUACGGCCCAGACUCCUACGGGAGGCAGCAGUGGGGAAUAUUGCACAAUGGGCGCAAGCCUGAUGCAGCGACGCCGCGUGAGGGAUGACGGCCUUCGGGUUGUAACCCUCUUUCACCAGGGACGAAGCGUAAGUGACGGUACCUGGAGAAGAAGCACCGGCCAACUACGUG
Molecule: ribosomal RNA, 462 nt
Filed under: uncultured bacterium
Lineage: Bacteria
Description: partial 16S ribosomal RNA
Rfam family: Bacterial small subunit ribosomal RNA
Source: RNAcentral